GACGAACGCUGGCGGCGUGCCUAAUACAUGCAAGUCGAGCGAAUCAAUAGGAGCUUGCUCCUGUUGAUUAGCGGCGGACGGGUGAGUAACACGUGGGCAACCUGCCUGUAAGAUCGGGAUAACUUCGGGAAACCGGAGCUAAUACCGGAUAAUCCUUUUCCACAUAUGUGGGAAAGCUGAAAGACGGUUUCGGCUGUCACUUACAGAUGGGCCCGCGGCGCAUUAGCUAGUUGGUGAGGUAACGGCUCACCAAGGCGACGAUGCGUAGCCGACCUGAGGGGGGGAUCGGCCACACUGGGACUGAGACACGGCCCAGACUCCUACGGGAGGCAGCAGUAGGGAAUCUUCCGCAAUGGACGAAAGUCUGACGGAGCAACGCCGCGUGAGCGAUGAAGGCCUUCGGGUCGUAAAGCUCUGUUGUUAGGGAAGAACAAGUAUCGGAGUAACUGCCGGUACCUUGACGGUACCUAACCAGAAAGCCACGGCUAACUACGUGCCAGCCGCCGCGGUAA
RNAcentral lists this ribosomal RNA (512 nucleotides) under uncultured bacterium. RNAcentral's name for it is "partial 16S ribosomal RNA". It matches the Rfam family "Bacterial small subunit ribosomal RNA", at positions 28 to 523 of the family's 1533-position model. The record is from RNAcentral.